UACGAAGGGGGCUAGCGUUGCUCGGAAUCACUGGGCGUAAAGCGUGCGUAGGUGGCGCGUUAAGUGAGAUGUUAAAUCGUGUGGCUCAACCAUAUCGAUGCAUCUCAUACUGGCGUGCUAGAGGGAAGCAGAGGCAAGUGGAAUUUGUAGUGUAGCAGUGAAAUGCGUAGAUAUUACAAGGAACACCAAUGGCGAAGGCAGCUUGCUGGGCUUCUUCUGACACUGAGGUACGAAAGCGUGGGGAGCGAACAGG
This 253-nucleotide ribosomal RNA is filed under the name uncultured bacterium. RNAcentral describes it as "partial 16S ribosomal RNA". It matches the Rfam family "Bacterial small subunit ribosomal RNA", at positions 524 to 776 of the family's 1533-position model. The record is from RNAcentral.